AUUGAACGCUGGCGGCAUGCCUUACACAUGCAAGUCGAACGGUAACGGGCCUUCGGGUGCCGACGAGUGGCGAACGGGUGAGUAAUACAUCGGAACGUGCCCGAUCGUGGGGGAUAACGAGGCGAAAGCUUUGCUAAUACCGCAUACGAUCUACGGAUGAAAGCAGGGGACCGCAAGGCCUUGCGCGGACGGAGCGGCCGACGGCAGAUUAGGUAGUUGGUGGGAUAAAAGCUUACCAAGCCGACGAUCUGUAGCUGGUCUGAGAGGAUGAUCAGCCACACUGGGACUGAGACACGGCCCAGACUCCUACGGGAGGCAGCAGUGGGGAAUUUUGGACAAUGGGCGCAAGCCUGAUCCAGCCAUGCCGCGUGCAGGAUGAAGGCCUUCGGGUUGUAAACUGCUUUUGUACGGAACGAAAAGCCUUCUUUUAAUACAGGAGGGUCAUGACGGUACCGUAAGAAUAAGCACCGGCUAACUACGUG
This 482-nucleotide ribosomal RNA is filed under the name uncultured bacterium. RNAcentral describes it as "partial 16S ribosomal RNA". It matches the Rfam family "Bacterial small subunit ribosomal RNA", at positions 30 to 507 of the family's 1533-position model. The record is from RNAcentral.